RNAcentral lists this ribosomal RNA (492 nucleotides) under uncultured Bacillota bacterium. Its description in RNAcentral is "bacterial SSU rRNA". It matches the Rfam family "Bacterial small subunit ribosomal RNA", at positions 28 to 504 of the family's 1533-position model. Lineage: Bacteria; Bacillati; Bacillota. The record is from RNAcentral.
GACGAACGCUGGCGGCGUGCCUAAUACAUGCAAGUCGAGCGAAUGACGAGAAGCUUGCUUCUCUGGUUUAGCGGCGGACGGGUGAGUAACACGUGGGCAACCUGCCCUGUAGACUGGGAUAACUUCGGGAAACCGGAGCUAAUACCGGAUAAUCCAUUUCACCUCAUGGUGAAAUGUUAAAAGGCGCAUCUCGCGUCACUACAGGAUGGGCCCGCGGUGCAUUAGCUAGUUGGUGGGGUAACGGCCUACCAAGGCAACGAUGCAUAGCCGACCUGAGAGGGUGAUCGGCCACAUUGGGACUGAGACACGGCCCAAACUCCUACGGGAGGCAGCAGUAGGGAAUCUUCCACAAUGGACGAAAGUCUGAUGGAGCAACGCCGCGUGAGUGAUGAAGGUUUUCGGAUCGUAAAACUCUAUUGUAAGGGAAGAACAAGUACGUUAGGAAAUGAACGUACCUUGACGGUACCUUAUUAGAAAGCCACGGCUAACUAC